This 544-nucleotide long non-coding RNA is filed under the name Salvator merianae (Argentine black and white tegu). Its description in RNAcentral is "lncRNA (ENSSMRG00000003376.1)". Lineage: Eukaryota; Metazoa; Chordata; Lepidosauria; Squamata; Teiidae. The record is from RNAcentral.
AUAACACAGAUGCAAUUGUGCUAUAUAUCCCUGUCUGGACGGGGCCUAAGUCUUUGCCACCAUGCAAAUGCAUUAGAAAAACUGGCAUAGCAGUCGCCAACCACUGCUUUCCAGCUCCACUUUUAUGAUCCUUUGGCUCUCCAAGGUGGGUGGCUGGGAUUAGGGACAGGGCAGCUUAAUUUUGUACAGUAUAAUUUUAGGCAGUAGUUUUUCCUCCUUGCUCUUUAGGUAGGAUUGAGUGAAGAACCAAGCAGUUCAACAGCAGGGACUGAAGUGAGAUGGGAGAAUGGAGGAAUAUGCUGAAAAUACAGAGGUUUCUAUGUACUUCUGAUGGCAAAAGAUCUUGUCAAGUAGCCAGUUUACACUAGCAAUUUGUUGUGAAAACACAACCCAAAUGGUCAGCAGGAUCCUGUGAAUCUGGAUAUUUUCACUAGCAAGCAGCAAAAUCUAUACACCAGACCAUCAUUGCAUCACAUGCAUUUUGCAGUACAACCAUAACUGUUUAUGUGACCUGCCUGAUUUUGGUGCACUUGUCUCACAUUUU